GUUGGGUUAAGUCCCGCAACGAGCGCAACCCUCAUCCUUAGUUACCAUCAGGUAAUGCUGGGGACUUUAAGGAAACUGCCAGUGAUAAACUGGAGGAAGGUGGGGAUGAUGUCAAGUCAUCAUGGCCCUUAUGGAGUGGGCUACACACAUGCUACAAUGGUGGCUACAAUGGGCUGCAAAGUCGCGAGGCUAAGCUAAUCCCUUAAAAGCCAUCUCAGUUCGGAUUGUACUCUGCAACUCGAGUGCAUGAAGUUGGAAUCGCUAGUAAUCGUGGAUCAGCACGCCACGGUGAAUACGUUCUCGGGUCUUGUACACACUGCCCGUCA
RNAcentral lists this ribosomal RNA (326 nucleotides) under uncultured Wolbachia sp. RNAcentral's name for it is "bacterial SSU rRNA". It matches the Rfam family "Bacterial small subunit ribosomal RNA", at positions 1074 to 1399 of the family's 1533-position model. Lineage: Bacteria; Pseudomonadati; Pseudomonadota; Alphaproteobacteria; Rickettsiales; Anaplasmataceae. The record is from RNAcentral.